This 88-nucleotide non-coding RNA is filed under the name unclassified sequences. Its description in RNAcentral is "freshwater-2 RNA". It matches the Rfam family "freshwater-2 RNA". From Rfam's summary of the family: Aquatic, esp. fresh water. No recognized genes The record is from RNAcentral.
CUUACUAAUGGGUAGUAAGUUUAUGGGGACUAACCCUCCUCGUAGCGGAUAGAACCCGCAACGGACUUCUAAAAGGAGAAAUAAAAUG